This 1177-nucleotide long non-coding RNA is filed under the name Monodelphis domestica (gray short-tailed opossum). Its description in RNAcentral is "lncRNA (ENSMODG00000046158.1)". The record is from RNAcentral. Lineage: Eukaryota; Metazoa; Chordata; Mammalia; Didelphimorphia; Didelphidae.
CGAAAGCAGCCGCUAUUACUGGAACCCUAAACAAGAGCAUCCCGGGUUUCUUUCAGUCGAUUGCAGUCAAUACCGAAGGCGACCAAGUAGGGCUGGUGUAGACCUCUGCGACAGCGCCCCUUCCACUAACCAUUGUCCUGUGACUAUUGAGGCCAGUGUGUGGCUGAAAAGGAAACGAGAAAGCCAGGAAAGUAAUCUCUGGCAGAGGAGCGCCAUGCAGCUUGUGGUCCAGCCCGGAGAUAUCUGCUUAUCUCGCUGGCUUUUUCUGUGCGCCUAGGUUUGUGUUCCAAUGGGUGGCACACCUCCCUAGAGAAAGUCUGGCGCAUGUGCAGCUAAGUGGCUCAGAUGAUAGAGAAUGAGACCCAGAGAGGGGAGGUCCUGGGUUCAAAUAUGAAUUCAGACACUUCCCAGCUGUGUGACCCUGGGCAAGUCACUUAACCCCCACUGCCUAGCCCUUACCACUCUUCUGCCUUGGAAGCACCACUUGGGAUUGAUUCUAAAACGGAAGGGAAUUCUUGGUGUUGAAGACUUAAAAGGAGAACUUGGGAGUUUUUAGCUGUGACCUACAUGAAGCUCCUCCUGAGGAAAGAGCUGAGUUAUCCAAGUCUAGUGGCAAGACAAAUUCAAAACAACUGGUGAUGACUCAGGAUGCAGUGGAUGACCUUGGUUCUUUGAUCUCCAACCAAACUCUAUGAUGACUAAGUGCAACCUACUUCAGCUGCUUUUGUGGACUUUGGAACAAAUCAUUCUUAUCUACCUUUUCCCCUGGGAAAAGUUUACUUAUGUCCUAACUCACCAAAGAGUUUGAGAUCUGUCAGAUCCCCUCCACUCAACUAAGGCAACCUGCCAAGAUGGUUUUACUGGGAUGUUGCUGCUGUGCGUGCUACAACUUCUUGGAGUCACACGUGAGAGUUGGACGACAGGUGAAUACAAAAGGCCUCCGUUUCUUCAUCUGUAAAAUGAGGAGUACAUUUCUUAUGAAGAGAGAAUGAACUCGGAGUAGAGGUUGAAUCUUUUUGGGGGGACAUGGCCAAUGUGGUAAUUUGUUUUCCUUAACAAUAUGUUUGUAACAUAUGAUUUGUAUUUCUUACUUUGUUAGUAUAGAGGAGAGGAAGAGAAUACAGAUCUGAAAAUGAAAUUAAAUAAAUUUUUAAAAAUUAAAUAAGAAUAUAACUAA